ACUUGCCUCUCACUCCCAGUUCCUCAUCGUUCUGGUAUCGUCUCCUAGCAGAGAAGGCGAGGUGAAGACCCCGAGCCAUGUCCCGAUCAUAAAGAGCUCUCCUUCUAGGAUCCGAGAGAGUCUCAUAAGCCUCCUGAACCUGAAUAAACCUCUGGGUGUACUCCUCAACCUGAUCCGGCGGCGACACGUCAGGGUGGUACUUCCUGGCGAGCUGCUUAUAAGCCUGCUUUAUCUCAAUCAAGGUACCGGACUCAGUAAUUCCCAGCAGCUCAUAGAAGCUCAUGUCGGCGGCGAUUCUUUCCUGCACAGCAGCCUUCGUUUUGAACGACGCGCGUGGGAAACGUGUAACUGGCUUAAAGCGGAGAAUUGGGUCCGACUUGGACGUUACGGUGGGAGAGGCAACAGUGGAGGAGAAGCAGAAGCGAGAGGCAUCGCUUCCAGGGAUGAUUAAGCCAUAGCUACGCAUCUCUCUCUGUUUCUUUUAAGUGGGUUUGUGUAAAAGCUUUCUGUGGUUUCGCACACAGCUCUGUUGGAUUAGAAGAUGAUAUGAAGGGAGGAGAAAGGGAUAGCUCGAGCUGUGGUGAGGACUACAACAUCUAAGAUGUGGAUAUUUAUAUAGUCCUAUUGUUAUUUGCCACUUGUCAAUCUAACAAUGGUUUUCAUUUAAUUAUUUUCAGAAAAUUAUUUAUUAUUUGGGAAAAAAAAUUCUGUAAAUUGACAAUUCUUUUUUUUAAAGAAUUGAUAUUUUGUAUAAUUUAUUUAUUUAAAAUAAGACACUUUUAUUGUUAAAUAAUUUAAUUUUUUAAUAUCUUUUAUAAAUUGAAUAAGGAAAAAUAUUCUUAAAAAAAUAAAACUUUCUCUUUUGAAAUGGUGUGUGUACAUAAUAUGCAGGCUGAUGUGAAAAAAGAAAAAAAUAAUCAACAUUUUAUUAAAAAAACUAAAAAUAUUUUAAAUAUUAAAAAGUAAUUAAAAUUUUAUUAUAUUAAAUUUAAUUUUAUAUAAAAUUUUAAAAUUAUUUAAUUAAUAUAUUUGAAUAAUUAUUUCUUAGUUACUAAUAAUUUUUGAAACACAUCAUAUAUGUCACGACUCAACCUAUGGGCUGGACCGGCACUAGGACCUGGGCC
RNAcentral lists this unclassified non-coding RNA (1124 nucleotides) under Hevea brasiliensis (rubber tree). Lineage: Eukaryota; Viridiplantae; Streptophyta; Magnoliopsida; Malpighiales; Euphorbiaceae. The record is from RNAcentral.